UGGGGAAUUUUGCGCAAUGACCGAAAGGUUGACGCAGCAACGCCGCGUGUAUGAUGAAGGCUUUCGGGUCGUAAAGUACUUUCAGUGGGGAAGAACUGCAUAAUCAGUAACUGGGUUAUGAUUGACGGUACCCACAGAAGCAGCCCCGGCUAACUCCGUGCCAGCAGCCGCGGUAAUACGGAGGGGGCAAGCGUUGUUCGGAGUCACUGGGCGUAAAGAGCUCGUAGGCGGCAGUGUAAGUCGGGAGUUAAAGGCAACAGCUCAACUGUUGUAAGGCUUCUGAAACUACAUUGCUAGAGUGCCAGAGAGGUAUGCGGAAUUCCCUGUGUAGCGGUGAAAUGCGUAGAUAUAGGGAGGAACACCGGUUGCGAAGGCGGCAUACUGGCUGGUAACUGACGCUGAGGAGCGAAAGCGUGGGUAGCAAACA
Molecule: ribosomal RNA, 427 nt
Filed under: uncultured Geovibrio sp.
Lineage: Bacteria; Pseudomonadati; Deferribacterota; Deferribacteres; Deferribacterales; Geovibrionaceae
Description: bacterial SSU rRNA
Rfam family: Bacterial small subunit ribosomal RNA
Source: RNAcentral